CCAAUGUCUAGUCCAUGCUUUUUCUAUAAUUACAAGCUUUAAAUUUAGUUUUUGUUGUUUGUUAAGUCUUAGUUAGAGAGUCCUAAGUUGCUGAGCAUUGUAGAAGCAUACUCAGAUUGUAGGAGGUCCAAUUCAGGCUUGAGAAGGUAUAAGUUCUAAUUAAGUUCUUGAAAUGGGUCUUGUUUAGUCCUUGAAAUUUCUUGAAUUGCUAUGUCAAGCAUGAUGAAUUAACAUGUUAUAAUGUGUUUAAGAAGUUUACUUACAUGUUUGAACUCUCAAACGAUGGUUUGGAACAUGUUUGAAG
This 304-nucleotide long non-coding RNA is filed under the name Panax ginseng (ginseng). RNAcentral describes it as "long non-coding RNA (PGIN_LNC007441)". Lineage: Eukaryota; Viridiplantae; Streptophyta; Magnoliopsida; Apiales; Araliaceae. The record is from RNAcentral.